UAGGGAAUUUUGCGCAAUGGGGGAAACCCUGACGCAGCAACGCCGCGUGAAGGAAGAAGGCCUUCGGGUUGUAAACUUCUUUAAGUGUGGAAGAUAAUGACGGUACACACAGAAUAAGCCACGGCUAACUACGUGCCAGCAGCCGCGGUAAUACGUAGGUGGCGAGCGUUGUCCGGAUUUAUUGGGUUUAAAGGGUGCGUAGGCUGUUAUGUAAGUCAGCGGUGAAAUACCUAAGCUCAACUUAGGGGCUGCCGUUGAUACUGCAUAGCUGGAAUAUGGUUGCUGUUGGCGGAAUGUGUAGUGUAGCGGUGAAAUGCAUAGAUAUCACGAAGAACUCCAAUUGCGAAGGCAGCUUGCUGGACUGUAACUGACGCUGAUGCUCGAAAGUGUGGGUAUCAAACA
Molecule: ribosomal RNA, 402 nt
Filed under: uncultured bacterium
Lineage: Bacteria
Description: bacterial SSU rRNA
Rfam family: Bacterial small subunit ribosomal RNA
Source: RNAcentral